RNAcentral lists this ribosomal RNA (464 nucleotides) under Vreelandella stevensii. RNAcentral's name for it is "partial 16S ribosomal RNA". It matches the Rfam family "Bacterial small subunit ribosomal RNA", at positions 338 to 795 of the family's 1533-position model. The record is from RNAcentral. Lineage: Bacteria; Pseudomonadati; Pseudomonadota; Gammaproteobacteria; Oceanospirillales; Halomonadaceae.
CCUAGGGGGGCAGCAGUGGGGAAUAUUGGACAAUGGGCGAAAGCCUGAUCCAGCCAUGCCGCGUGUGUGAAGAAGGCCUUCGGGGUGUAAAGCACUUUCAGUGGGGAAGAAAGCCUUGGGGCUAAUACCCUCGAGGAAGGACAUCACCCACAGAAGAAGCACCGGCUAACUCCGUGCCAGCAGCCGCGGUAAUACGGAGGGUGCGAGCGUUAAUCGGAAUUACUGGGCGUAAAGCGCGCGUAGGCGGUCUGAUAAGCCGGUUGUGAAAGCCCCGGGCUCAACCUGGGAACGGCAUCCGGAACUGUCAGGCUAGAGUGCAGGAGAGGAAGGUAGAAUUCCCGGUGGAGCGGUGAAAUGCGUAGAGAUCGGGAGGAAUACCAGUGGCGAAGGCGGCCUUCUGGACUGACACUGACGCUGAGGUGCGAAAGCGUGGGUAGCAAACAGGAUUAGAUACCCUUGUAGUC